UACGGGGGGGGCAAGCGUUGUUCGGAAUUACUGGGCGUAAAGGGCUCGUAGGUGGCCAACUAAGUCAGACGUGAAAUCCCUCGGCUUAACCGGGGAACUGCGUCUGAUACUGGAUGGCUAGAGUUUGGGAGAGGGAUGCGGAAUUCCAGGUGUAGCGGUGAAAUGCGUAGAUAUCAAGCGGAACACCAGUGGCGAAGGCGAGUCCCUGGACAACUCCUGACACUGAGGCACGAAAGCUAGGGGAGCAAACAGG
This 253-nucleotide ribosomal RNA is filed under the name uncultured bacterium. Its description in RNAcentral is "partial 16S ribosomal RNA". It matches the Rfam family "Bacterial small subunit ribosomal RNA", at positions 524 to 776 of the family's 1533-position model. The record is from RNAcentral.